This 468-nucleotide ribosomal RNA is filed under the name uncultured bacterium. RNAcentral's name for it is "partial 16S ribosomal RNA". It matches the Rfam family "Bacterial small subunit ribosomal RNA", at positions 28 to 507 of the family's 1533-position model. The record is from RNAcentral.
GACGAACGCUGGCGGCGUGCUUAACACAUGCAAGUCGAACGGAAAGGCUCCAGCUUGCUGGAGUACUCGAGUGGCGAACGGGUGAGUAACACGUGGGUGAUCUGCCCUGCACUUCGGGAUAAGCCUGGGAAACUGGGUCUAAUACCGGAUAGGACCGCACUUUGGUGUGUGUGGUGGAAAGGUUUUUCUGGUGUGGGAUGAGCUCGCGGCCUAUCAGUUUGUUGGUGGGGUAAUGGCCUACCAAGACGGCGACGGGUAGCCGGCCUGAGAGGGUGGACGGUCACAUUGGGACUGAGAUACGGCCCAGACUCCGACGGGAGGCAGCAGUGGGGAAUAUUGCACAAUGGGGGAAACCCGGAUGCAGCGACGCCGCGUGGGGGAUGAAGGCCUUCGGGUUGGAAACUCCUUUCGCUAGGGACGAAGCUUUUUGUGACGGUACCUGGAGAAGAAGCACCGGCUAACUACGUG